AUUGAACGCUGGCGGAAUGCUUUACACAUGCAAGUCGAACGGCAGCACGGACUUCGGUCUGGUGGCGAGUGGCGAACGGGUGAGUAAUGUAUCGGAACGUGCCCAGUCGUGGGGGAUAACGUAGUGAAAAUUACGCUAAUACCGCAUACGAACUAUGGAUGAAAGCGGGGGAUCGCAAGACCUCGCGCGAUUUGAGCGGCCGAUAUGAGAUUAGGUAGUUGGUGGGGUAACGGCCCAGCAAGCCAACUAUCUGUAGCUGGUCUGAGAGGACGACCAGCCACACUGGAACUGUGACACGGUCCAGACUCCUACGGGAGGCAGCAGUGGGGAAUUUUGGACAAUGGGCGAAAGCCUGAUCCAGCCAUUCCGCGUGCAGGAUGAAGGCCCUCGGGUUGUAAACUGCUUUUGUACAGAACGAAAAGGUUUCUACUAAUACUAGGAGCUCAUGACGGUACUGUAAGAAUAAGCACCGGCUAACUACGUGCCAGCCGCCGCAGUAA
RNAcentral lists this ribosomal RNA (500 nucleotides) under uncultured bacterium. RNAcentral describes it as "partial 16S ribosomal RNA". It matches the Rfam family "Bacterial small subunit ribosomal RNA", at positions 30 to 523 of the family's 1533-position model. The record is from RNAcentral.